CAAAGGGAGCAAUCCCGGCCACGGAUGGGCAUGCGGCGCAUUAGCUAGUCGGCGGGGUAACGGCCCACCGAGGCGACGAUGCGUAGGGGUUCUGAGAGGAAGGCCCCCCACACUGGUACUGAGACACGGACCAGACUCCUACGGGAGGCAGCAGUGAGGAAUAUUGGUCAAUGGGCGCGAGCCUGAACCAGCCAAGUCGCGUGAGGGAGGACGGCCCUACGGGUUGUAAACCUCUUUUGCCGGGGAGCAACGGGCGCCACGUGUGGCGCCACUGAGAGUACCCGGAGAAAAAGCAUCGGCUAACUCCGUGCCAGCAGCCGCGGUAAUACGGAGGAUGCGAGCGUUAUCCGGAUUUAUUGGGUUUAAAGGGUGCGUAGGCGGAUCGUUAAGUCAGUGGUCAAAUUGAGGGGCUCAACCCCUUCCCGCCAUUGAAACUGGCGAUCUUGAGUGGAAGAGAAGUAUGCGGAAUGCGUGGUGUAGCGGUGAAAUGCAUAGAUAUCACGCAGAACCCCGAUUGCGAAGGCAGCAUGCCGGCUUCCGACUGACGCUGAAGCACGAAAGCGUGGGGAUCGAACAGGAUUAGAUACCCUGGUAGUCCACGCGGUAAACGAUGAGCGCUAGGUGUCCGGGGGGAAUGGCCCCUGG
This 645-nucleotide ribosomal RNA is filed under the name uncultured bacterium. Its description in RNAcentral is "bacterial SSU rRNA". It matches the Rfam family "Bacterial small subunit ribosomal RNA", at positions 202 to 842 of the family's 1533-position model. The record is from RNAcentral.